Long non-coding RNA from Sciurus carolinensis (gray squirrel), 873 nucleotides. RefSeq lists it as uncharacterized. NCBI's taxonomy places the organism in Eukaryota, Metazoa, Chordata, Mammalia, Rodentia, Sciuridae. The transcript has 3 exons. The record is from RefSeq and is a predicted model, not a curated record.
AACGCGAGGGCUGCGCCGGGAGCUGUAGUCUUCAGCCCUCUCCCUCUGGGGGUUUCUCUGAAGGAACCAUUUGGGCCGUCCUUAAAGAGGCACCGCCUGCAAAACAGCUAUCACACUGCAGCCCAAGAUGUGGCGACUGAAAAGAACAAGCAUGGGGAGGGAGCCACCACCCACCACUGCGUGACCCUGGCAACUGACUUGUGCCUGUUUCCCCACCAGCAUGACCUAGCUACCUCCUUGGACUCCUGAAAAUCAAGGUGGUUGAAGGAACCCCGUAACAAACUCGGUGAGAGAAGCCAGACAUGAGAAGUCACAGCGCAUAGGGUGCCACUGGACAGGAUGUCCCUGCAAGGAUGGCAAAGAACAGAACCUCUGCAGACUGGAGCCGGACAAUGUCACUGGUUCCAUCAGCAGCCCGGAUGGGCAGCCCCCAUCUGCGAAUAGAGAGGCGCCCACCCACCUGAGUGGAGGCCAGGGGCCGAAGAAGCAGAGGAAGGAGCAGAAGGGACUGGGGGUUCAAUCGCUUGCAGGACUGGAGCAGGGCAGUUGCUCCGCGUGCCUGUUCAGGUUGAUGGGCCCCUUUGGGUUGGAGGGUUUCUCCAGCUGUGGGCAUGGAGGCCCUUGAAGGGGCCUUGUCCACUGCAGGGUGCUGAGCGGGGUCCUGGGCUCCACCCACUGGAUGCCAGAGCCACCUCCCUUCCCAUGACUACCAAGAUGUGCGUAUGAGGGAUCAGGGACCCCAGUAGAUAACCAGCUGGGAGGCUGACCCCGACCCGCCCUCCGAGGACACCGAGCCGCCUGUGCUUGGUGCCCGCCCCUGACACCUCCUCCCCCCCGGGGAAGGCCAGGGCUUGGCCACGCGGACCCGGCGCC